AUGGGCACCAGGGCUACAAAACCCAACCCAGCUCUGGAAGCUGUGGCAAGGGAGAAGGACAGCCCUGCCACAAGCUCCCAGCCUGUCCAGCAAUUCCUCUCUUUCUUGCCUAAUGCAAGGGCUCAGCCUGAAGCGCAGCUCCCACACACUCCAUUUGUAGCCCCUGCCACGCUGCUCCACCUCUGGCUUCAGCCUGGAGGGGUGGAGGACCCGGUCCCGUGCUGCAGAUCAGCUUGGCAGGACCUCACAGCAGGAUUAGGAAGCCUGUUGCUGGAGAUGGACACCACGAUCCACCCCUCUGUGGGACCCCCUGACAGCUCCUGGGGCAGACGCCGGCUCAGGGCACCCACAAAAUGGUGGCAAGGGCCCUGCCCUGCCUCGGGGUGCUCUAGCAGCAUAUCUGGAGAUGCUGCCUGGCACGCAGAAGCCGUGCCAUGGGAAGGAAGGGAGAGGGUGCUGGGGGAAGGGGCCUCGGCAGCUGUGAGCUUAACCCAGCAGGGAACGGCGCAAGACAAUAGAUGCCUCUGUUCCAAAAAUAGCUGGCGACGUGGAUGCUUUCCAAGGAGGAACCCGAAUCUGCAGCGCGCACGAGGCAGGCAGCAGCAUGUUGGAUGCCAGAGGAGCCGGACAGGCACAUUUUGGAAAGCCGAGCAAACGCGCCGACAGAUAGGCAGCGUGGCAGCCGGGGGCCCAAACGAGCAGGUGGUGAAACUGCACGUCUUGCUGAAAGACACUCCGGGCUCGGGAGCUGGUCGUGCAAGGCUGCCGGGGUCCCCAUCCUCUGCAGAGCCAAACCACAGCCUUACCCCAGGGCAGCCCCGACCACCACGACCUGGUCCCACCACAGCCACCUCGGUGUGCCCCACUCCUCUCCCCGAUGUCCCUCAGGGGGAGCUUUUGGAGCUGCUGCUUGUCUUCCUUGAGCCUUCUGCUCUUCCAGCCUGCCUGGGCUCCAGCUUCAGGGUCUGCCCUGCAAGCACAGGAACACAAAUGCUCUCACUCACUCCUUUCCUUCAAACAAAGCCAGAACUACAGGUGGAGGUAGCUCAGCAAAUAUCACAAAAUUUGAGGCGAGCAUGCAAUCUGCUUCAACGCAACAGGCGGUCUUCAGUCGUGUUGGGCUCUGAGGGCUGUAAUUCUGCACCUGCCCGCUGUCCCCUGCUGUGGCCAUCCUGGUGCACGCAGACCUGCUCGUGCCCAUGGCAAGGGCUGGAGCUGCAGCACCUGAGCACUGGGAGAGCAUCACCCACACCUGCAGAGUCUGCACUCGGGAGGGGAAAUUCACCCCAGCUGCCAGCCCCGGCUGAUAAGACAAUCUUCCUUCAUCUCUUGCUGCCACUUGCUCCACCUCUAUUUUUUUUUUUUUAUUAUUUUAUUAUUCCAGUUGCACCCAAAAGCCUGCUCUCCCCAGCGUUUCUGCAUAUCCUGCUCUGCGUUUUCCCCUGA
RNAcentral lists this long non-coding RNA (1446 nucleotides) under Anas platyrhynchos platyrhynchos (common mallard). Its description in RNAcentral is "lncRNA (ENSAPLG00000020341.1)". The record is from RNAcentral. Lineage: Eukaryota; Metazoa; Chordata; Aves; Anseriformes; Anatidae.